This 254-nucleotide ribosomal RNA is filed under the name uncultured bacterium. RNAcentral describes it as "partial 16S ribosomal RNA". It matches the Rfam family "Bacterial small subunit ribosomal RNA", at positions 524 to 776 of the family's 1533-position model. The record is from RNAcentral.
UACAGAGGGUGCGAGCGUUGUCCGGAAUCACUGGGCGUAAAGGGCGCGUAGGCGGCCUGGCAAGUCGAUGGUGAAAGCUCAGGGCUCAACUCUGAGUCGGCCAUCGAUACUGCUAUGGCUCGAGUCUGGUAGAGGCAGAUGGAAUUCCACGUGUAGCGGUGAAAUGCGCAGAUAUCAGGAGGAACACCGAUUGCGAAGGCAGCUCGCUGGAACGUUACUGACGCUGAGACGCGAAAGCGUGGGGAGCAAACAGG